AGUCGAGCGAUGGAUUAAGAGCUUGCUCUUAUGAAGUUAGCGGCGGACGGGUGAGUAACACGUGGGUAACCUACCCAUAAGACUGGGAUAACUCCGGGAAACCGGGGCUAAUACCGGAUAAUAUUUUGAACUGCAUAGUUCGAAAUUGAAAGGCGGCUUCGGCUGUCACUUAUGGAUGGACCCGCGUCGCAUUAGCUAGUUGGUGAGGUAACGGCUCACCAAGGCGACGAUGCGUAGCCGACCUGAGAGGGUGAUCGGCCACACUGGGACUGAGACACGGCCCAGACUCCUACGGGAGGCAGCAGUAGGGAAUCUUCCGCAAUGGACGAAAGUCUGACGGAGCAACGCCGCGUGAGUGAUGAAGGCUUUCGGGUCGUAAAACUCUGUUGUUAGGGAAGAACAAGUGCUAGUUGAAUAAGCUGGCACCUUGACGGUACCUAACCAGAAAGCCACGGCUAACUACGUGCCAGCAGCCGCGGUAAUACGUAGGUGGCAAGCGUUAUCCGGAAUUAUUGGGCGUAAAGCGCGCGCAGGUGGUUUCUUAAGUCUGAUGUGAAAGCCCACGGCUCAACCGUGGAGGGUCAUUGGAAACUGGGAGACUUGAGUGCAGAAGAGGAAAGUGGAAUUCCAUGUGUAGCGGUGAAAUGCGUAGAGAUA
This 657-nucleotide ribosomal RNA is filed under the name uncultured Bacillus sp. RNAcentral's name for it is "bacterial SSU rRNA". It matches the Rfam family "Bacterial small subunit ribosomal RNA", at positions 60 to 698 of the family's 1533-position model. Lineage: Bacteria; Bacillati; Bacillota; Bacilli; Caryophanales; Bacillaceae. The record is from RNAcentral.